RNAcentral lists this ribosomal RNA (253 nucleotides) under uncultured bacterium. Its description in RNAcentral is "partial 16S ribosomal RNA". It matches the Rfam family "Bacterial small subunit ribosomal RNA", at positions 524 to 776 of the family's 1533-position model. The record is from RNAcentral.
UACGUAGGGCGCGAGCGUUGUCCGGAAUUAUUGGGCGUAAAGAGCUCGUAGGCGGCUUGUCACGUCGGGUGUGAAAGACCGGGGCUUAACUCCGGUUCUGCAUUCGAUACGGGCUAGCUAGAGUGUGGUAGGGGAGAUCGGAAUUCCUGGUGUAGCGGUGAAAUGCGCAGAUAUCGGGAGGAACACCGGUGGCGAAGGCGGGUCUCUGGGCCGAAACUGACGCUGAGGAGCGAAAGCGUGGGGAGCAAACAGG